This 880-nucleotide ribosomal RNA is filed under the name Methanomethylovorans sp. enrichment culture clone AM3. Its description in RNAcentral is "bacterial SSU rRNA". It matches the Rfam family "Archaeal small subunit ribosomal RNA", at positions 1 to 884 of the family's 1478-position model. Lineage: Archaea; Methanobacteriati; Methanobacteriota; Methanomicrobia; Methanosarcinales; Methanosarcinaceae. The record is from RNAcentral.
UUCCGGUUGAUCCUGCCGGAGGUCACUGCUAUCGGUGUUCGACUAAGCCAUGCGAGUCAAAUGUUCUUCGUGAACAUGGCGUACUGCUCAGUAACACGUGGAUAACCUGCCCUUAGGUCUGGCAUAACCCCGGGAAACUGGGGAUAAUUCCGGAUAGAUCAUGGAUGCUGGAAUGCACCGUGGUCGAAAGCUUUUGUGCCUAAGGAUGGGUCUGCGGUCUAUCAGGUUGUAGUGGGUGUAACGUACCUACUAGCCUAUGACGGAUACGGGUUGUGGGAGCAAGAGCCCGGAGAUGGAUUCUGAGACAUGAAUCCAGGCCCUACGGGGCGCAGCAGGCGCGAAAACUUUACAAUGCGGGAAACCGCGAUAAGGGGACACCGAGUGCCAGCAUCCUAUGUUGGCUGUCCAUAUGUAUAAAUAACAUGUGUUAGCAAGGGCCGGGCAAGACCGGUGCCAGCCGCCGCGGUAACACCGGCGGCCCGAGUGGUGGCCACUAUUAUUGGGUCUAAAGGGUCCGUAGCCGGUUUGGUCAGUCUUCCGGGAAAUCUGACGGCUUAACCGUUAGGCUUUCGGGGGAUACUGCCAGGCUUGGGACCGGGAGAGGUAAGAGGUACUACGGGGGUAGGAGUGAAAUCUUGUAAUCCCUGUGGGACCACCAGUGGCGAAGGCGUCUUACCAGAACGGGUCCGACGGUGAGGGACGAAAGCUGGGGGCACGAACCGGAUUAGAUACCCGGGUAGUCCCAGCCGUAAACUAUGCUCGCUAGGUGUCAGGGACGGUGCGACCGUUUCUGGUGCCGUAGGGAAGCCGUGAAGCGAGCCACCUGGGAAGUACGGUCGCAAGGCUGAAACUUAAAGGAAUUGGCGGGGGAGCACUACAA